GAUGAACGCUGGCGGCGUGCCUAAUACAUGCAAGUCGAGCGAACGGACGAGAAGCUUGCUUCUCUGAUGUUAGCGGCGGACGGGUGAGUAACACGUGGAUAACCUACCUAUAAGACUGGGAUAACUUCGGGAAACCGGAGCUAAUACCGGAUAAUAUUUUGAACCGCAUGGUUCAAAAGUGAAAGACGGUCUUGCUGUCACUUAUAGAUGGAUCCGCGCUGCAUUAGCUAGUUGGUAAGGUAACGGCUUACCAAGGCAACGAUGCAUAGCCGACCUGAGAGGAUGAUCGGCCACACUGGAACUGAGACACGGUCCAGACUCCUACGGGAGGCAGCAGUAGGGAAUCUUCCACAAUGGGCGAAAGCCUGACGGAGCAACGCCGCGUGAGUGAUGAAGGUCUUCGGAUCGUAAAACUCUGUUAUUAGGGAAGAAGAUAUGUGUAAGUAACUGUGCACAUCUUGACGGUACCUAAACAGAAAGCCACGGCUAACUACGUG
Molecule: ribosomal RNA, 497 nt
Filed under: uncultured bacterium
Lineage: Bacteria
Description: partial 16S ribosomal RNA
Rfam family: Bacterial small subunit ribosomal RNA
Source: RNAcentral